This 397-nucleotide non-coding RNA is filed under the name Trichomonas vaginalis G3. Its description in RNAcentral is "Eukaryotic small subunit ribosomal RNA". It matches the Rfam family "Eukaryotic small subunit ribosomal RNA", at positions 1 to 467 of the family's 1831-position model. The record is from Rfam by way of RNAcentral. Lineage: Eukaryota; Parabasalia; Trichomonadida; Trichomonadidae.
UACUUGGUUGAUCCUGCCAAGGAAGCACACUUAGGUCAUAGAUUAAGCCAUGCAAGUGUUAGUUCAGGUAACGAAACUGCGAAUAGCUCAUUAAUACGCUCAGAAUCUAUUUGGCGGCGACCAACAGGUCUUAAAUGGAUAGCAGCAGCAACUCUGGUGCUAAUACAUGCGAUUGUUUCUCCAGAUGUGAAUUAUGGAGGAAAAGUUGACCUCAUCAGAGGCACGCCAUUCGACUGAGUGACCUAUCAGCUUGUACUUAGGGUCUUUACCUAGGUAGGCUAUCACGGGUAACGGGCGGUUACCGUCGGACUGCCGGAGAAGGCGCCUGAGAGAUAGGGACUAUAUCCACGGGUAGCAGCAGGCGCGAAACUUUCCCACUCGAGACUUUCGGAGGAGG